AAUGGGCGAAAGCCUGUCGCAGCGACGCCGCGUGAGUGAAGAAGGUCUUCGGAUCGUAAAACUCUGUCCUUGGGGAAGAUAAUGACGGUACCCAAGGAGGAAGCCCCGGCUAACUACGUGCCAGCAGCCGCGGUAAUACGUAGGGGGCGAGCGUUGUCCGGAUUUACUGGGCGUAAAGGGUGAGUAGGCGGUUAUUUAAGUCAGAUGUAAAAGGCUGUGGCUCAACUAUAGUAAGCAUUUGAAACUGGAUAACUUGAGUGCAGGAGAGGUAAGUGGAAUUCCUAGUGUAGCGGUGAAAUGCGUAGAUAUUAGGAGGAACACCAGUGGCGAAGGCGACUUACUGGACUGUAACUGACGCUGAGUCACGAAAGCGUGGGUAGCAAACAGGAUUAGAUACCCUGGUAGUCCACGCUGUAAACGAUGAGUGCUAGGUGUUGGCUAGCGAUAGUCAGUGCCGACGUAAACACAAUAAGCACUCCGCCUGGGGAGUACGGU
Molecule: ribosomal RNA, 495 nt
Filed under: uncultured bacterium
Lineage: Bacteria
Description: bacterial SSU rRNA
Rfam family: Bacterial small subunit ribosomal RNA
Source: RNAcentral